ACUGGCACCAUUACAAUUCUCCUCCACUUUGAACCACCGUCAAAAAGCACACCGUUACUGGUAAUCCACCUCAGCUCCACCUCUUCCUCCCUCAGCCGUGAAAGCGACUGCGAACAAAAUAUCUCUAAUGUGCAAUGUCACAAAAUUCAUAAUCGGCUCAAUUCUAUAUCUCGAUCCAUUUUCUUCUUCAAAUGAUUAAGCUUUUUGCGAUUUAUAUCAAUUUUGGGAAUCGGGCGUGAUCUUAUGUUUAUCGGGAACCAGUCGAUUUGGCUCUAAAAUACCAGCUAGUUUCCCGUUGAGCCACUGGAAUCCAACCGCGGUUUUUUUGUGGUGGCGCCGGGUCAAUUGUCUGAGAUUUUGAUGAUUCAGCUUUAGUGGAUAUGCAAAAGUUAGUGAUAUGAAUAGGGAAGAGUUGGGAAAUAUCAUGACAGUGAGGACAAAACCAGCAGCUUUAGUGGUUGGCAUAAGCAAUGGUCAUCAGGAAAAUGAAGGAGAAUCUAAGAUGGAACCACAUGUGGGAUUAGAAUUCAAUACAGCUGAAGAAGCACAGGAGUUUUAUAGUAUGUAUGCAACUCAGGUGGGUUUUAAAAUAAGGAUAGGACAGCUGUAUAGAUCAAGAGUUGACGGCUCUGUUAUUUCCCGGAGAUUUGUGUGCUCAAAGGAGGGAUUUCAGACAAACUCCAGAACUGGUUGUCCUGCUUUCAUAAGAGUGCAAAAGGUGGAUUCUGGGAAGUGGGUUGUUGCCAAUAUAAAGAAGGAACAUAACCAUGAAGUUGAAGCCUCAGGAGAAAUAUGUCCUUCUCGGAUACAGAGGAAAAGUUUUCCGACUCCAAGAUCAUCAACAGGUGGGGCUAGUCGGACAGGAAUUAGAUCACAUGAAGAUGAUAGUCCAUCUGCUGUGGUAGAUAUUAAGCGUCUUAAAAAGGAAGAGAUGGACGCAGUUAAUGGACCCUCAGGUGAACCUUCUAAGGGUCUUGAGUUUAAUUCUGCCAAUGAUGCGUAUAAAUUUUACUAUGCAUAUGCAACUAACAUGGGGUUCAGAAUUAGGAUAGGUCAAUUAUUUCGCUCUAAACAUGAUGGCUCGAUUACAUCUCGAAGAUUUGUGUGCUCCAAGGAAGGGCAUCAGCACCCUUCUAGAGUUGGUUGUGGAGCAUACAUGAGAAUACAAAGACAUGAAUCGGGAAGGUGGGUAGUUGAUCGUCUUCAGAAGGAACACAAUCAUGCACUUGGCAGUCCAUUGGAUCCUAAUAGAACAGUUAAUGGUACGCCAAAGGGGUGCAGAGAGGAAGGUAGUAGUGUGUUGGAGAAUUUGGAUUUGGUUGAAACAAAUGGAGGCCUCAGCCUAGUCAAGCGAGGCAGAGAGAGUAGGAUUGAUAAUGAUUGGUAUAGUGUGCUACUUGAGUAUUUUCAAUCUCGGCAAGCUGAAGAAACAGGGUUUUUUUAUGCGGUGGACAUGCGGGAGGGUAAAGGCAUGAACCUUUUCUGGGCUGAUGCACGAUCUAGAUUUUCAUGUGCUCAAUUUGGGGAUGCAAUCGUGUUUGAUACAACAUACAGGAGAGGUAGUCAUUCCGUGCCAUUUGCUUCAUUUGUUGGUAUCAAUCAUCAUAGGCAACCAGUACUGCUUGGUUGUGCUCUAAUUGCUGACGAAUCUGAGGAGUCAUUUACUUGGAUCUUUCAGGCUUGGGUUAGGGCAAUGUCAGGUUGUCGUCCUGUAUCUAUAAUAGCUGAUCAGGACAGAGUCAUUCAACAUUCAAUCGCACAAGUUUUCCCCGGGACACAUCAUCGAUUUUCAGCAUGGCAAAUUCUUGCGAAGGAACAAGAGAAUUUGGGUGCAUUACUUUCCAUGGAUGCUGAGUUCAAAUAUGAGUAUGAAGCUUGCAUUUUUCAGAGUCAAACAGCUAGUGAAUUUGAUUUCUCUUGGAAUAUGCUUAUGGACAAAUAUAACUUGUCCGAUAAUGCAUGGUUUAAGGAGAUGUAUCAAAUGCGUAAAAGUUGGGUUCCUUUGCACAUAAAAGGAACAUUCUUUGCGGGAAUCCCUGUAGAUGGGAGCUUAAAGUCGUACUUCAGUACAUUUUUGACCGCCCAAACACCUCUCAAUGAAUUUAUAGUGCGGUAUGAGAAAGCUUUGGAAAAGCGCUAUGAAGAGGAAAGGAAGGAGGAUUAUAACUCAUUUAAUAUGCAAGUGGUCUUGCACACUAAAGAUCCCAUUGAGGAACAAUGUAGAAGGCUAUACACAAUUACAAUGUUCAAAGCGUUCCAAAAGGAGCUUUUGGAUUGCUACAAUUAUGUUGGGACCAAGAUUAAUGUGGAAGGUGCAAUCAGUAGAUAUCUGGUGCAAAACUGUGGAAAUGGGGAUGAGAGGAACACAGUUGCCUUUAAUGCAUCAAACUUGAAUAUCAGUUGCAGUUGUAAAAUGUUUGAGUUUGAAGGCGUACUUUGUAGACACACAUUGAAGGUCUUCCAAAUAAUGAACAUAAGGGAGCUUCCAUCUCGCUAUAUCUUACACCGGUGGACUAAAAAUGCAAAAUUUGGCAUAAUGCGGGACUCUGAUUCAUUAGGUGGUUCCCAAAACUUUAAGGCCUUGAUGUUGUGGAGUUUAAGGGAAGAAGCUCGUAACUAUAUUGAAGCAGGAACAGCAUCCUUGGAAAGAUACAAGCUUGCAUUUGAGAUCAUGCAGGAGGGUAGAAGAAAUUUCUGUUGGCAGAACUAGAAACAUAACUCAAAACGCAGGUUAGAAAUGUCUCUUCGUUCAGUUUCAGCUAUGUAAUUAUUUAGAAUCAUUUCCCUUUAUCUGUAAACAUAUAUUAGAGCUGAAAAUCUUGGCUCCGAUUCUAUUUUUUAAUCGGUCAAGCUGUGCUUGAAUCAAACUGUUCUCUAACAAGAUGAUGAUAUGUGCAUAUGUUUCACAUUAUUGUACAAGAAUUUGCAUUUUCAUCAUUGAAUAUCAUGUGGGUUUCACCGUCUCCAUAAUAGUGAUCUUGCCAAGAACCCAUACCUUCUUCCCCAUUGCAAUUCAUCCCUUCUUCUCCAUCUUCAGCAUCUUGAUCCUCAUUCACCACAAGCUCUACUUUCUUCCCCGUCUUCUUCUUCAGUUUCUUCAAUACUUUCUCCGGAUUGAUCCUUCCUAUCACCACCACCCUGUCAUUCGCCAUGUCAGUCAUUAACGUCUCCACACCUGUUCCACCAUGCCAGCCACAUAUCAGAACCAGCCUAGAGAUAAAGGGGAAUGAUGAAACCUUUGAGUUUGGAAAUGGCUUUGGCAACUCUUCUUUCACAGGCAUUACAAUGCAUAGGAACCUUGAAUUCUGCCUCCACAACCUGUUGAUUUGAAUUGUCCCAGAAUUCAUUUUGUCACUUUUAUUACAGAACCAUACAUCCAAAAUUUCUAAAUCACAUGUAUAUAUGUAUUUUUGUAUGUAUGUAUCUUACUUCGUCUGCUUUCUUCAUUUGGUCAGCCAUUGAGAAAUUCUUGGAAUUGAAGAAGAAAGAAAUGAAUGAUUAUAGGCAGGAAUCUAGUGGAAGUUCUAGAUGGAUAUUUUUUUUUCUUUCUCUCUUUACUUUUUUGGGAGGGGGAAUACAGUUAUUUCAGUUAUUUAGAUGGCCCAUCAAAUAUUGUUGUGAAUUAAUUUUUUGUGUUGUGAGUGUGCAUUUAUUUCUUUGAUAUUAA
Salvia miltiorrhiza (redroot sage) is the source of this 3667-nucleotide RNA transcript. It is a transcript of the gene named protein FAR1-RELATED SEQUENCE 7-like, with no coding region annotated. The transcript is spliced from 3 exons. The record is from RefSeq and is a predicted model, not a curated record. NCBI's taxonomy places the organism in Eukaryota, Viridiplantae, Streptophyta, Magnoliopsida, Lamiales, Lamiaceae.